CCUACGGGUGGCAGCAGUCGAGAAUCAUUCACAAUGGGGGAAACUCUGAUGGUGCGACGCCGCGUGGGGGAAUGAAGGUCUUCGGAUUGUAACCCCUUGUCCUGUGGGAGCAAAUAAAAAAGAUCGUACCACAAGAGGAAGGGACAGUUAACUCUGUGACAGCCGCUGCGGUAAUACGGAGGUCUCAAGCGUUGUUCGGAAUCACUGGGGGUAAAGCGUGCGUAGGCUGUUUAGUAAGUCGUGUGUGAAAGGCGCGGGCUCAGCCCGGGAACGGCAAAUAAUACUGCGUGACUAGAGUAAAGGAGGGGGAACCGGAAUUCUCGGUGUAGCGGUGAAAUGCGUAGAUAUCGGGAGGAACACUCGUGGCGAAGGCGGGUUCCUGGACAGUAACUGACGCUGAGGCACGAAGGCCAGGGGAGCGAAAGGGAUUAGAUACCCCAGUAGUC
RNAcentral lists this ribosomal RNA (446 nucleotides) under uncultured bacterium. RNAcentral's name for it is "partial 16S ribosomal RNA". It matches the Rfam family "Bacterial small subunit ribosomal RNA", at positions 338 to 795 of the family's 1533-position model. The record is from RNAcentral.